ACGAACGCUGGCGGCGUGCCUAAUACAUGCCAGUCGAACGCACUCUCGUUUAGAUUGAAGGAGUUUGCUCCUGAUUGAUAAACAUUUGAGUGAGUGGCGGACGGGUGAGUAACACGUGGGUAACCUGCCCUAAAGUGGGGGAUAACAUUUGGAAACAGAUGCUAAUACCGCAUAAAACCUAACACCGCAUGGUGUAGGGUUGAAAGAUGGUUUCGGCUAUCACUUUAGGAUGGACCCGCGGUGCAUUAGUUAGUUGGUGAGGUAAAGGCUCACCAAGACCGUGAUGCAUAGCCGACCUGAGAGGGUAAUCGGCCACACUGGGACUGAGACACGGCCCAGACUCCUACGGGAGGCAGCAGUAGGGAAUCUUCCACAAUGGACGAAAGUCUGAUGGAGCAACGCCGCGUGAGUGAAGAAGGUUUUCGGAUCGUAAAACUCUGUUGUUGGAGAAGAAUGUAUCUGAUAGUAACUGAUCAGGUAGUGACGGUAUCCAACCAGAAAGCCACGGCUAACUACGUG
This 519-nucleotide ribosomal RNA is filed under the name uncultured bacterium. Its description in RNAcentral is "partial 16S ribosomal RNA". It matches the Rfam family "Bacterial small subunit ribosomal RNA", at positions 29 to 507 of the family's 1533-position model. The record is from RNAcentral.